UUAAAGUGUCUUGUGUAAAAACUUUACAUUACUUAAAUAUCAACUACAAUUACACUAGUACAGAAACUUUUUUGGACAUGGACUUCAAUUCCAUGUACUUUGAAAGAGAAAGGAGAAGAGGGAUGUCCUGGGGUGGGGAGCACAAGUUCACUCAUUACUUGUUGACGUUAUAUACGAUUGCAUUUACAUUUCAACUAUUUUUGAGUUUGGACAGGAUCAUAAUAAUUCCUCUAUGCUUUUCAAGAUAGAGAAAAGAGGGAACCUUAGCAAGCCUUAUCAUAUGAACACUGCUGCAAGUGGGAUGACAUCAGGAAUGGUUGAGAAUCCACGGAGAGAGGUUGUGCAUCAAACUCGGAAAAACAUUCGUAGAGCAUCGACUACUUUCUCAGGCCAAUCCUCUUGAGGCAUAUGGCCAGCGCCUUCAAUCAGCUUAAGCUCGACAGAUCGAGGAUUUGCCUUCUGAAAUUCCUCCGCAAUUGAUUGUGGGAGAUACUUAUCUGAUAUUCCCCAAGCAACUAAAAUUGGUUUAUCCCAGCUUCCAGCUGCAAAACCAGAUGAUAUUUGACUUGCAGUCUCACUGAAGUUAGCUCUCUUUGCAGCUUCCAACAAAGCAAAUCCAGGUCCACUGCUUGACAAAUAUGGUAGUCGGUACACAUCAGCCUUCUCCAGCUUUAAGACAUAGGCGCUACCUGCUUCAAUAAAGCGCUCAGCCAUUACUGCAUUCUGGCAAGUAAAUUCACCGAAGAAGGGAAUUCUGAGCUGCUGAAAAAGUCCAGGAAUAGGUGAAGAAACUGUCAAUGGAGUGUUAAGAAUCGCAAGCUUCAAUAUUUUGCUGGGAUUUUUCAAGGUCCAAGUCAAUCCAUAUGAACCCACAAGAAACCCCUGAACUACAAGGAAAAAUGGAGAUGUCACCCCCAGGACUUCAAGUAACUUCUCAAACUCUUCAUGGAACUCUUUCUCAGUGUAGUCGAAACCGUAACCAGGUUGUGGCUUGUCACUGAAUCCAAAUCCGAUCCAGUCUGGUGCAAAGCAAUGGAACCCAGCAUCUGACAGCUGAGACAUAACAACUCGAUAGCUGUAUGAUUGUGUUGGAGCUCCAUGGAGAAAGACAAUUGUCCCACGUCUGCUUUCAGGUGAUCCUGUUUCUCUCACAAACCACCUAAAUUUUCCUGAUUUGACAUAUGAUCCGUAUUCCUUUCCUUUGUCUUCAGUUCUGUAAAGCAUUUGGCCGACGUUUCCGUCCUCUGCAGGACUCUCAGGCAUCUGAAUUGCGCUUCGGCUGGACGGAUUGUCAGUGACAAAACCGAACGGGUUAAAUGCGGGUUUAUUAUCGUCUUUCUCACCAGAGCUUCUUCGGAGAAAGACGAUAAUAAACCCGCA
Molecule: unclassified non-coding RNA, 1380 nt
Filed under: Hevea brasiliensis (rubber tree)
Lineage: Eukaryota; Viridiplantae; Streptophyta; Magnoliopsida; Malpighiales; Euphorbiaceae
Source: RNAcentral